UACGUAGGGUGCAAGCGUUAUCCGGAAUUAUUGGGCGUAAAGAGCCCGUAGGCGGUUUGUCGCGUCUGCUGUGAAAACCGGAGGCUCAACCUCCGGCCUGCAGUGGGUACGGGCAAACUAGAGUGCGGUAGGGGAGAUUGGAAUUCCUGGUGUAGCGGUGGAAUGCGCAGAUAUCAGGAGGAACACCGAUGGCGAAGGCAGAUCUCUGGGCCGUAACUGACGCUGAGGAGCGAAAGCGUGGGGAGCGAACAGG
Molecule: ribosomal RNA, 253 nt
Filed under: uncultured bacterium
Lineage: Bacteria
Description: partial 16S ribosomal RNA
Rfam family: Bacterial small subunit ribosomal RNA
Source: RNAcentral